AGUCAGGAGGGUGGAGGAUCCCAGAGAAGUCUGGAUGGGGCACUGGGACAGGGGCACCCUGAGGGGGGAGGUGCGGGCAGAGGGGGUCUCCCCGGGAGGGGUAUGAGGAAGGGUGGGGAGUCCUGCAGAGGCUCCCCCGGCGGAAAAGGCUGAAGACCUGGAUCCUGCGGUUGGGUGGGUUGAUCAGUGCCCACACCGACCCACCCGGAACUGGAGCAGUCUGUCUCCAGCUUGCAAGUCUCAGACCCUGGAAGCUCACUUCCCAAUUCGUACUGAUCAUUUACUGACGAUAACAGUUCAUUUACCAGGCCUGCUUGGGAUGAGAAUACGUCGUUCCACCUCAUCGAGGGCUUUAUAUACAAUUAAAUAUCAAGGAGCUAAAUUCUACAUAGGUAGGAAAAGAGAAAGGAAAUAACAUGCCUCCAGAAGAAGGUCAACAAUUCAAAAAGUACGGGAAAGAGGAAGGAUGCAAGAGAGGAAGAAAAAAUUUAUAAAGAAGAUUAAAAGAGAAAUAGAGACAUUAACAGGACAGACUAGAAGUAUGGGAAAGGUUUGCCAACCUCUGGUAAAGAGCAUGAGCUCUGGAACCAGACAAACUUGGAUGAUGUGAAUCCUGCUUUCAUCUCUUAGCACCUGACUUUGGACAAGUAACUACCUUUUAAAGCCUUUUUUUUUUUCAUUUGUAAAAUGGAAUAGUAAUAAUACAUACUUAAUUGAGCGGUUGGGAAGAUUCAGUGAGAUAGUCUAUGUCGCUAUGAUAGCCCAGUGUCUGUCAUAUAUUUAGCUUAGCUAGAGGACAUGAAGCCAAGUGAAGUAAGCCAUUCGCAAGAAGGAAAAAUACUGCAUGAUUAGUCAAAAUCAUAGAGCAGAAAGCCGAAUGCUGGUGGCCAGGGGCUGGGGGAGGAAAGAAUGAGGAUUUUUUUUUUUUUUAAUGCACAUAGAGUUUUCAGUUUCACAAGGUGAAAAGAAUUAUGGAGAUAGAUGGUGGUGAUGGUUACACGUUAUGAAUGCAUUUAAUAUCACUGACCAGUACAUUUAAAAAUGGUUAAGAUAGCAAAUUUUACAUUAUGUGUGUUUUAACACAAUUUUAAAAAUUAUUUAUUUAUUUAUUUGACUGUGCCAGGUCUUAGUUGCAGCAUACGAGAUCUUUAGUUUCGGCAUGCGAACUCUUAGUUGCAGCAUUCGAACACUUAGUUAUGGCCUGUGGGAUCUAGUUCCCUGACCAGGGAUCGAACCCGGGCCCCCUGCAUUGGGAGCGUGGAGUCUUAGCCACUGGACCACCAGGGAAUCCCACACAAUUUUUUUAGUGGAAGGGAAAAGGCCACCUCUGUGGGCACAGGCCCAGGUAUAUCUCUUGCCUGAGGACUUCCUCUGCUUUACACUUUUCAGCAGCUAAGGUCACAGGAGGUUGAAGGUCAGAAAAGAAGAGAAAUUCAUUGAGAACAAUCUGUAAAGGCCAGACUACUUAACAUCAGAUGAACUUUGUGGAGUCAAUCAGUACCAAACAAUAGUCAGAUGUUAUUAACGCUCCUCCUGCCUUCUCUGCCUGAACUUGGAAUUCUUCCACUGGCAUUGACAUUGUCUGUUAUUGAGCCCUUAAUUAUAAACAUCAGGCAGAAAACUAUGGAAGGGAAACUUACAAUCUCCAUUCUGAACGAAGCCAUCGUUGAGAUAGUGGUUUAGACCAGUGCUAUUCAAAGUGUUCUUUGUGAACCAGUUUAUGACAGGAUUCUACUUCUGGGUGAGAUGGAUGAAGACCCUACCAGACCUCACACACACACACACACACACACACACACACACAAAAACCAUCACAAAACCUGGAUAUGACACACACACACACACACACACACACACACACACACGCACAAACCACUUGAAGUUAUUUGAGAGUGAACAGAAGCUGACAGGCUCUUAUGAGGAUUGCAUGCUCCUUGGAGGAGGGGAGGUGGAGAGGCAUACAGGUAAGUUGUUGUACCUGUGGCUUUUAUCCUGGGACUACAUAUUGUGCAUCCAGCAUGGGGAUCACAUGUGGAAAACCCUGCAUCUUUUCUGGCCUGUAGAAACAUAAAAGUAUGAAAAUAUGAACAUUGAGGAGAGUGGGAGAACCCACAAAAGGGAGAGAGCCAGAGGAUGGAUCCUCAAAUUCAUUCUGUCCAUACCUCUGACUGCCCUCUGAAGCACACACACGUGAUGUAGACCCAAAGCAACUCAACUAAAGACAAACAAUGUGAAGCAAGACUAGCGCUAUCCAGUUCACGUCCACACAGGAUGAAACUAACACUUAGUAGAGGAAAAUAACAGAACCCAGAAUCUCUCCAACUUAAUAUUCACAUCAGGUAACAAUCCAAAAGCUACCUGAAAGGAACGAGGAAAAAGAAAAUGGACAAGAAAACCAAUUAAAUCCAUCCAUGCAAUGAGCCAGAUGUUAGAACUGACAGAAACAGAUUUUAAAGAAAUAUUAUAACUAAAUUCAAUGAAUUAAAAUAAAACAGACCUCAAUGAAUAAAAACCUCAAGAGAAAAGUGGUAAAUCUCAGCAGAGAAAUACAAAUGUAAAAAAAAAGACCAAAUGGAAAUUGUAGACUUGAAGAAGACAUGACAGAUAAAAGAGUAAGUGAAAUCAAAUCAAGAGAUAGAUUAAUAGGUAAAUAAAUGAAACAAGAAAAGAAAGAAAGAGA
Molecule: long non-coding RNA, 2680 nt
Organism: Orcinus orca (killer whale)
Lineage: Eukaryota; Metazoa; Chordata; Mammalia; Artiodactyla; Delphinidae
Exons: 3
Source: RefSeq, a predicted model, not a curated record